Molecule: ribosomal RNA, 104 nt
Filed under: Salinivibrio sp. SS3
Lineage: Bacteria; Pseudomonadati; Pseudomonadota; Gammaproteobacteria; Vibrionales; Vibrionaceae
Description: partial 16S ribosomal RNA
Rfam family: Bacterial small subunit ribosomal RNA
Source: RNAcentral
ACUUAAAUUGAAGAGUUUGAUCAUGGCUCAGAUUGAACGCUGGCGGCAGGCCUAACACAUGCAAGUCGAGCGGAAACGGCAGUAUUGAAGCUUCGGUGGAUUUA